Molecule: RNA transcript, 1066 nt
Organism: Egretta garzetta (little egret)
Lineage: Eukaryota; Metazoa; Chordata; Aves; Pelecaniformes; Ardeidae
Gene: NUBPL
Gene name: nucleotide binding protein like
Exons: 13
Source: RefSeq, a predicted model, not a curated record
CUUGGCUUCUGGAAAAGGGGGAGUUGGAAAAUCAACAACAGCAGUAAAUAUAGCCCUCGCGCUAGCAGCAAAUGAUUCGGAAGAUUUACAUUUUUCACCAUAGAAUGAAAUGGUUUUUGUGUCGUGAAGGACAGAGGAGCAAGAAGUAAAACCAUAUGGAAAAAUUUAGCAUCUUUUUUUCAAAUAUUUGGCUCCUGUAAUUAAACUACUUGUCAACAGGAUAAUAUUUGACUGCUGUGUUAAUAGAUGACUUCACAAUGUAUAUACAUUUCUUUCUGACAAAAGAAGUUGGUUUACUUGAUGCAGACAUUUAUGGACCUUCAAUUCCAAAGAUGAUGAACUUAAAAGGAAACCCUGAAUUAACACCAAAAAAUCUAAUGAGGCCCCUUAAGAACUAUGGAAUCGCAUGCAUGUCUAUGGGUUUCUUGAUAGAAGAGACUGCCCCGGUUGUGUGGAGAGGGCUCAUGGUAAUGUCAGCUGUUGAGAAAUUGUUGAGACAGGUUGACUGGGGUCAACUGGACUAUUUAGUAAUUGACAUGCCACCUGGGACUGGAGAUGUACAGCUGUCAGUCUCACAGAAUAUUCCGAUUGCAGGAGCUGUGAUCAUCUCCACUCCACAAGAUGUGGCUUUACUGGAUGCACGCAAAGGAGCUGAAAUGUUUAGAAAAGUUCAUGUACCUGUUUUAGGACUGGUGCAAAAUAUGAGUGUUUUCCAGUGUCCCAAAUGUAAGCAUGAGACACAUAUUUUUGGAGCUGAUGGUGUAAAAGAUCUAGCGAAAACCCUUGGAUUGGAUAUUUUAGGAGACAUUCCACUGCAUGUUAAUAUACGGGAGACUUGUGAUUCGGGACAGCCUGUUGUGGUCUCGCAGCCUCAAAGUGAUGCUUCCUGUGCACAGUGCAUCUCCAUCUUCAGGGUGAGGGAAGAUUAUAACCAGUAGUACCUGUGGGACUAAAGAGUCUCCUUCCUUCUCAACACUUCUGCUCCAGAAGAAUAUUGAUUCUGUUUGCUGUCUAAGACAGAUGGUUCAGCUAAAGCCUAUCUAAAGAUAGCUAUGGAAAUAGUAAG